Molecule: long non-coding RNA, 990 nt
Filed under: Chlamydomonas reinhardtii
Lineage: Eukaryota; Viridiplantae; Chlorophyta; Chlorophyceae; Chlamydomonadales; Chlamydomonadaceae
Description: long non-coding RNA (CREI_LNC000795)
Source: RNAcentral
AUGUGGGCACGGGUGGGAGCCACACACAUCGGGACUACGCUUUCCUGCCCCUUGCCAUGUUCCAUCACGAACACGGGCCUAAAGCGCCACAUGCUCGCAACGCCGUGCAACGCGCGGGGCCAAAAGGCGGAGCGCCGUCCGAGCCCCUGCUAGCCCCAGCUUACGGCCGGUUGCAUCGUCAAUGCUGCAUUCUAGUGUAUGCAAGCGCAGGCCCCACGGCGUUGCAAAUGGCGCAGCGCAGGGCAGCGGCAAGGUUCGCGCGCAACAUGCGGCCCUGUGACAUGUCAGUCGUAGCUGUGAGCCCGGGCACGGUCGGCUGCGCGCGAGUGCUGAACAUUACAUGGUGGUUUACAGACUAGUGCCUAACCCAGAGGGCAACCAGCUCCACCCGCCAAGAUUGGCCCGGAGGGCGCAGGCUCUCAAUCAGGCCCAACUCUGAGCUGCCAUCAGUCCCUGCAUAAUCCAUAGGAUACAUGAGCUUGUGAACCACACUGCAAAAGGUUUUCCCCGCCUCAUAGCGAGUUUCGGUCAAGGGGCCCCCAGCGAGCGCGAACUAAGGCCAAGCACUUAUCUUUUCCACCAUUGUCUAGGUUGUGCAGCUAUAGUAACGCUGUAGGGAAGCUUAACUUGAGCUUACCGGUCGCGAGUUGUCAUAGAGCGCCGGCGGCAAAACUCAGCCUAGGCAGGCCCGCAGCACGCCUGUGACGCAGCCAUGUUGAGCAAGACUCUAACGCAGCAGGAAGCGGCGGUGCGGGACGCUCAAAUCGGGCAGCUCAGAGAGUGCAAGGUGCUCGCGGAGGAGGAGGUCGUGGAGCUCGCUGCCAAGUGCAAGGAGCUGCUGCAGCAAGAGCAGAAUGUCACGCAUGUUCGUGCACCCGUCGUGGUCGUCGGCGACACUCACGGGCAGUUCCACGACCUGAUGGAGAUUUUCAAGAUUGCUGGCCAGGCUCCCGACGCGAACUAUCUGUUCCUGGGCGACUACGUGGACCG